UACGUAGGGUCCGAGCGUUGUCCGGAAUUACUGGGCGUAAAGAGCUCGUAGGUGGUUUGUCGCGUUGUUCGUGAAACUCACAGCUCAACUGUGGGCGUGCGGGCGAUACGGGCAGACUAGAGUACUGCAGGGGAGACUGGAAUUCCUGGUGUAGCGGUGGAAUGCGCAGAUAUCAGGAGGAACACCGGUGGCGAAGGCGGGUCUCUGGGCCGAUACUGACGCUGGAGGAGCGAAAGCGUGGGGAGCGAACAGG
This 253-nucleotide ribosomal RNA is filed under the name uncultured bacterium. RNAcentral's name for it is "partial 16S ribosomal RNA". It matches the Rfam family "Bacterial small subunit ribosomal RNA", at positions 524 to 776 of the family's 1533-position model. The record is from RNAcentral.